This is a long non-coding RNA of Mauremys mutica (yellowpond turtle), 329 nucleotides long. RefSeq lists it as uncharacterized. Lineage: Eukaryota; Metazoa; Chordata; Testudines; Geoemydidae. The record is from RefSeq and is a predicted model, not a curated record. The transcript has 3 exons.
CUAAGUAAAAAUACUUUACAUAUUUCCAGAUGUAUCUAAAGCAACACAGAUUCACAGGAGAAAAAUGGCAUUGCUCAUAUCAGAGUUCACAUCUACUAUAAUGGCGCCUGUGCAUUUUCUGGACAAGUUCAGGUACACCAUCUGGUAUGGGUGAUAAUCAGUACAUGAGGUGAGAAAAGCAUGAACAAGCAAAGUCAGCAGGAGAAGGCAAGGAUUCCAGUCAGAAGCCCAUCAUUUCUAUUCAGCUGCAGUUUUGCAUUAGUGAACACUGGAUGGGCCAGUAGAAAAUGAGGUUCUGCUCUGAAAAGUGGCUCCAUAAGAACAGCAUA